RNAcentral lists this ribosomal RNA (241 nucleotides) under uncultured bacterium. RNAcentral's name for it is "partial 16S ribosomal RNA". It matches the Rfam family "Bacterial small subunit ribosomal RNA", at positions 92 to 334 of the family's 1533-position model. The record is from RNAcentral.
CGACCGGCGCACGGGUGAGUAACACGUAUCCAACCUGCCGAUAACUCGGGGAUAGCCUUUCGAAAGAAAGAUUAAUAUCCGAUAGCAUGUUGAGAUCGCAUGAUUUUGAUAUUAAAGAAUUUCGGUUAUCGAUGGGGAUGCGUUCCAUUAGUUUGUUGGCGGGGUAACGGCCCACCAAGGCGACGAUCGGUAGCCGGACUGAGAGGUUGAACGGCCACAUUGGGACUGAGACACGGCCCAG